GCUUGCAACUUUCUUCAUGAUAUCUUCAAGAACUGAUAGGUCGUGUAGUUUAAGAAUAAUUUGUCUUGGUGGGGCUCCAGCACCUGGUCGGGCUCUCUGGACUCGAUGUGCCUGAUCAAUUUUAGGUCUCUCAGGCAGAUUAAAUGCCUGGGGUAACACAAAAUGCUGGAGUAACUCAGCGGG
This is a long non-coding RNA of Amblyraja radiata (thorny skate), 183 nucleotides long. RefSeq lists it as uncharacterized. The transcript is spliced from 3 exons. The record is from RefSeq and is a predicted model, not a curated record. NCBI's taxonomy places the organism in Eukaryota, Metazoa, Chordata, Chondrichthyes, Rajiformes, Rajidae.